GCGCAGCAGGCGCGAAAACUUCACACUGUGCGAAAGCACGAUGAGGGAAUCCCAAGUGCUUGCACGUAAGUGUAAGCUGUUUCUCUGUUUAAAACGCAGAGAGAGUAAGGGCUGGGUAAGACGGGUGCCAGCCGCCGCGGUAAUACCUGCAGCUCAAGUGGUGACCGUUAUUAUUGGGCCUAAAACGUCCGUAGCCGGUUUAAUAAAUGCCUGGGUAAAUCGUGUAGCUUAACUAUACGAAUUCCGGGUAGACUGUUAAACUCGAGACCGGGAGAAGUUAGAGGUACUCCUGGGGUAGAGGUGAAAUUCUGUAAUCCUAGGGGGACCACCAGUGGUGAAGGCGUCUAACUAGAACGGGUCUGACGGUGAGGGACGAAGCCCUGGGGCGCAAACGGGAUUAGAUACCCGUGUAGU
This 414-nucleotide ribosomal RNA is filed under the name uncultured microorganism. Its description in RNAcentral is "bacterial SSU rRNA". It matches the Rfam family "Archaeal small subunit ribosomal RNA", at positions 330 to 745 of the family's 1478-position model. The record is from RNAcentral.